GACGAACGCUGGCGGCGUGCUUAACACAUGCAAGUCGAACGGAAAGGCCCCCACCUUGGUGGGGGUGCUCGAGUGGCGAACGGGUGAGUAACACGUGGGUGAUCUGCCCUGUACUUCGGGAUAAGCUUGGGAAACUGGGUCUAAUACCGGAUAGGACCAUGGUUUAGUGUCUCAUGGUGGAAAAAUUAUUGUUUUGGUGCAGGAUGAGCUCGCGGCCUAUCAGCUUGUUGGUGGGGUAAUGGCCUACCAAGGCGUCGACGGGUAGCCGGCCUGAGAGGGUGGACGGCCACAUUGGGACGGAGAUACGGCCCAGACUCCUACGGAAGGCAGCAGUGGGGAAGAUUGCACAAUGGGCGCAAGCCUGAUGCAGCGACGCCGCGUGGGGGAUGACGGCCUUCGGGUUGUAAACUCCUUUCGUUAGGGACGAAGCCACACCUUUUUUGGGUGUGGUGACGGUACCUUUGUUAAGAAGCACCGGCUAACUACGUG
Molecule: ribosomal RNA, 489 nt
Filed under: uncultured bacterium
Lineage: Bacteria
Description: partial 16S ribosomal RNA
Rfam family: Bacterial small subunit ribosomal RNA
Source: RNAcentral